AUUUAAUCCCAGUAGAUAUAAAUUCUUAUACUAAUACUAGCCUAUUCAGACAUAUUUAAUAUGCAGCACUAUCUGCUCCAGGAGCAAGAACUGACUCCAAAUUUCUUAUGUGCUUCAUUAAGUCAGAGGAGUCUUUACUGGGAGAUGAAGAUGAUGACUGAGAUGCAGCCACCAGAACAGCUGCCCCAGUGUUGGUGGUUGGCAUUGGAAGUUCCCUCUCCUCGUUACCAGGACGUCUGUUCCACCCAGGAUCACUCAUAGGUCUCCGAACUGAUGACACUAUAUCUGAACUCCUGCUGCGGACUAGCCUUUCUGGGUCCGGGGCCUCUACAACAGGAGACAACACAGAGAAGAGAGAAAAAGCAUCACUACUCAAUGCCAGACUCCCUUAAAAUUCAUAUACAAAAAGAAGACUGUGCGGCUUGAUUUGGAAUAUUAUUUUUUAAGCUAAUUGAACCACUUCAGCGAGUCUUCUCCCUACACAGAAGGCAGGACUCUGCCCAGAAAGCAAUGCCCUAUUUGCACAGGCAUUUUGACAAGU
Anas platyrhynchos (mallard) is the source of this 541-nucleotide non-coding RNA. The record is from RefSeq and is a predicted model, not a curated record. Lineage: Eukaryota; Metazoa; Chordata; Aves; Anseriformes; Anatidae.